Ananas comosus (pineapple) is the source of this 3047-nucleotide RNA transcript. RefSeq lists it as uncharacterized. The record is from RefSeq and is a predicted model, not a curated record. NCBI's taxonomy places the organism in Eukaryota, Viridiplantae, Streptophyta, Magnoliopsida, Poales, Bromeliaceae. The transcript is spliced from 6 exons.
AGUCCGAGGCCGCCUUCGCUGCGGAUGCCGCCGUCGCUGUCGCCGUCGCCGGCGCCGACUGUACUGCUUCUGCCGUGCCUUCUCUCCUCAGCAUUGCAACGACAUUGUUCCAUUAGGAUGUCGCGUAGUAAUGUGGCUAUUGUUGUUCAUUGGAAUGGAGAAAUAUUUGCGCAUGAUAGCAAUCCAAAGUACGUUGGCGGUCGUAAGAAAUUAAGUGGUAUUCCAGUGGAUAUUACAUUUACAGAAUUCGAGAGAAAAAUAUAUAGAUUGACCGAUACUUCGAGAGAUGAGUAUCGCCUAAUUAUUAAAGUCCGAUAUUCGACCGGGAUGAAUCAAUUCGAUGUGGUUGAAGUUACGGACGAUGACUCACUGUGUGGUGCGAUGGCAUUGUCGGGAAACCCUCCGUGUUUGAUAAUUUUCGUUGAAAAAGAGAUAGUUCUUUCUCAGGGGUAUUAUUCUAGAAUGUUAAACAGUGACUUUAAUGUGGAUGUAUUAUCCCCUGGCCCCGAAAGAGAAUCUUUUCGUGCUGAUAUUGGAGGAGGAGCUGAUGCACCUAGGGAGUACAAUUUUUCAAAUGUAGUUGUUGGUGAUCCUCCUCCCCUCCCACGUACUAUUCAUCAUGCCACGGGUUUUAGUUCUCAUGCCCCACUGGGUAGAGAGCAAGGCGUCUCAUGUGAAGAAGGAUUUCAUACCUCUCAUGAUGUGCAUGACUUUGGAUCGUAUCCAUUGGGAACCGAAAAUGACGGUAUAGGAAAUCGGGCGGAAGUGCAACAAGAAGUAGCUGAAGACCGUUACACUACUGAUCAUGAGGGUGUUGGACAUGAAUCUUCAAAUUUGGCCGUAAAUGAGAACAUUGUGGCAGAAGUUCAUCAUUAUGAUGCAGAUCAUGAUGGUGGACUGGGUGUUCUCGCAGAUAUCAUAUAUACUGAGGGUGAUGAUCCAAUUGUCAAUAAUGAAUAUGUUGAUGAUCCAGAUGAAGGUGCAGAGUACAUAGAUCAUCCAGACCAAUUUGUAGAAGAUGAUGAUUGGAUUGACCAGUAUGUGGCUGAUAACGAUGUGCAUGAUCGUCCGCAGAUUGAACAGCCCCCUCCUACUAUUGAUGACUUAUGGGUUGGUCGGGUAUUUCCUGAUAAAGCAAGUUUAUUGCACACUCUGGGGGAAUGGCAUAUUGCUCACAACGUGCAAAUGAAAGUAAUAAAGUCGACGACAAAGGCGUAUACAGUUAAAUGCAUGGUAGAUUCAUGUCCUUGGAGAUUACAUGCAUCGGUACCAAAGGAUGUGAGUUAUUUUAGAGUUAAAAAAUACUCCGGGCAACAUACAUGUUUAGUGCCGGUGCUUAACACUGUACAUCGAAACUGUACUUCAUCUCUUAUAUGUCGACAUAUUCUCCCAUCAUUGAGGGUAAAGCUUACUUUGACACCGGCGGAAAUUAAAGAAAAGGUGCGUAAUGAAUUGCAUGUAGACAUACCUUAUUCGAAAGCGUGGCAGGCUAGAAGUAAAGCACUACAGAUCAUUUAUGGUGGUUGGGAGGAGUCAUACACCGAUCUUGGUCGCUUCCUAUCUAUACUACAGCGCGUGAAUCCCGGGACUCAAUGGCGUCUUGAUCCUAAAAUCCUGCCAAAUGGUGUUAGGCAGUUUGGGCGAGUAUUUUGGGCCUUCGGGCCGUCAAUUAAUGGGUUUUCUUAUUGUCGACCAUUGUUGAGCAUUGAUGGAACCCAUAUGUAUGGAAAGUAUCAAGGGCAUGCGUUGAUUGCGACGGGUGUAGAUGCUAAUAAUGGGUUAUACCCAUUGGCGUUUGCUAUUUGUGAGGGAGAAAAUGCGGCUAGUUGGCGUUGGUUUUUACGACAUCUAAAGGUUUUAGUGACACGUGAUCGAUCUAUUUGUUUAAUUUCAGACCGCUUUCCUGGGUUAAAGGAGAUUGUUGCGGAGGAGUUUCCGAGAAGCGAGGGACAUGCUCACCGUUGGUGCCUCCGCCAUAUGCAGGCUAAUAUGAAAAAAGCCGGUUUUAAAAAUGAAACUGUGCUCAAUAAAUUUUAUACGGGCAUAGGAUGUGCUGCAACUGCAAAGGAAUAUUAUGAGCAUAAGGAUCAGUUGAAAGAAAUGGAUCCAGCGGCAUGGCUUUGGGUGCACGAGCUCCAAGGGGAAAGGGAAUAUUGGGCGAGAGCAUUUGAUGGUGGACGGCGUUUUGGGACAAUGACGACAAAUCGGUCGGAGAGUUUAAAUGGAGUGCUUAAGGGUGUACGUGGUUUACCUAUCACAGCAUUUGUGGCCGCUACAUUUUAUAAGGUAAACAAUUAUUUUGUUAAGCGCCGUGAUAAAGGUGAGACAUACACUACAGUAUUGACACCAAAACAGGAGGCGUUAAUUAGGAGUUAUAUGAUAAUCGCAAGAGGACACCGUGUGGAUCGUUACGGAGUAAACGAGUUUCAAAUUACUACCGGAAAUGGACAAUAUGAGGUGGUUCUUGACGGGAGAACCUCGACUUGUUCAUGCCAUGAGUUUGAGCUCACUAGGUUGCCAUGCUCACAUCUUCUAGCUGUAUGCAGUAAUGGUCAAAUGAACAUUGACUACUAUAGUCUGUGUUCUGAAUGGUAUACAUGUGAGAAUUACCGUCGUGCUUACUUCCCGCAAUUUCACCCUGUCCCAGACAAAAGAAGCUGGCCACGCCCUCAAGGACCACCGCUGGCACCACCACCAAUCAGGAGAAAGAAAGGUCGUCCAAGAUCAACUCGUAUUCGAAAUGCCAUGGACGAGAGAGAAGGAAUGCGAAGAACUAUGUGCACUAUUUGUAAACAACAGGGACAUUAUAGGACUACAUGUCCAAAUAAUCAAGAUAGAACAAAUGAAGGCCGUAGACGUAGAGCUAUAGAUGGACGAUCACGAGGAUCCCGGGCCAGUUGAUCCAUCAGUUCUAUCAGACCAGGAUAGGCAUCGGUCGAGCUACGUGCGAUCAGAGGGGUACGCGCCAGUUCAGUUUACGGAGCAUGGCCGUAAACUGAACACAUGGAUAGUCGAGCAUCCGGGAGUGAUAGAGCACUUACGACAUG